This 301-nucleotide ribosomal RNA is filed under the name uncultured bacterium. RNAcentral's name for it is "partial 16S ribosomal RNA". It matches the Rfam family "Bacterial small subunit ribosomal RNA", at positions 509 to 807 of the family's 1533-position model. The record is from RNAcentral.
CAGCCGCCGCGGGAAUACGUAGGGCGCAAGCGUUGUCCGGAAUUAUUGGGCGUAAAGAGCUCGUAGGCGGUCUGUCGCGUCUGGUGUGAAAUCCCGAGGCUCAACCUCGGGCUUGCAUCGGGUACGGGCAGACUAGAGUGCGGUAGGGGAGACUGGAAUUCCUGGUGUAGCGGUGGAAUGCGCAGAUAUCAGGAGGAACACCGAUGGCGAAGGCAGGUCUCUGGGCCGCAACUGACGCUGAGGAGCGAAAGCAUGGGGAGCGAACAGGAUUAGAGACCCGUGUAGUCCCUGUCUCUUAUAC